CUUAUCUGUAACUAACACACAAAAGGAAGACAGUGCUAUUUAUUUUAGAAUAUAAGUCCUUAGAGGUUUUCUAGAUGUUGUCCUUGUCCAGGUUGUCUAGAUGUAAUCCAUACACUCCUUCCUCUUUUCCAGUUUAGCAAAGGAUGUCCAGCCUCUUUAUGUUCUUGUGAAUAAAUGAUCUCCAGUGACACUUUCAAGAAUUUGGCAGGUCAGAAGGGGGACUGCUGCUGAGCCAGUAAGCCCUUGAGGGGAUGUGUUACCCAUGCAUGGGAGAGAUAGGGAUGGCAUGCUUCAAAGAACGACAGCGAUAAGACAGAGCCACCUCUGUGGCCAUUCUCACCAUCUGUGCCUCCUUCCCCAUCUCAGGUUCUCAUCAUAGCACUUUUUUUCCUGGUAAAUCCCCAGAAUAACCAGAUCUCUCUCUUUUCUUCCUAUGGUUCUUUUCUCCCAAGUCUGUUCAUGGAUUGAAAGCAUUAUGAUCUGUGUUAUGGUGUUGUGGAGAGAAUGUGUUGCUCAUUAAUGAAAGUUUGUUAUUGUGUUGCACUUUUAUUUUACAGAUAUUUGAGCAUGAUGAUAAAAGUUUUCUGAGCAAAGAUACCUUGGAAAUCAAAAAGCUGCAGGAGCAGAAUGCCAGCCUUCGGGCUGCUAUUGCACAAAUGAGGAAAGAAAUGGAGAAUCUUGAUCAGCAGGUGUUGUCCUCUCUUCCUCUGACAGAAAGCAGACAGCUUGCAGAACAAGGUUCAUUGUGCACAAACAACAUUUCAACUGCAAACACUUUGAGUAACACCAAAGUCAGCUCAGCUAACUUGGAUUGUGUAGUAAACCCAGACACAGAAAAGGGGCCAAACGCCAAAGUUCUUGAAGAAGAGAUGGUAGAUCUUGGACAGCAGUUACCUGACAUGGGUCCUGGUAUUGGUCUUCAGCAUGGUGUCAGCUGCACUCUACAAGGAAUGCAAAAUAAACUGAGGGAAGCUGCAAGAAAAAUCUCAAUUCUGAGCCAAGAGAAGCAGCAGCUGAUUGAAAUGGGAAACAGACUCAGGGCAGAACUUGGAAUGGUAUUAAAGGAAGGAGCUGCAGUUUGCAAAGCCACAGCAUCCCUCAAGGAUCUCUUCUCUGCUUGCCUGCCCUAG
RNAcentral lists this long non-coding RNA (1130 nucleotides) under Calidris pygmaea (Spoon-billed sandpiper). RNAcentral describes it as "lncRNA (ENSCPGG00000015299.1)". Lineage: Eukaryota; Metazoa; Chordata; Aves; Charadriiformes; Scolopacidae. The record is from RNAcentral.